RNAcentral lists this ribosomal RNA (433 nucleotides) under uncultured bacterium. Its description in RNAcentral is "partial 16S ribosomal RNA". It matches the Rfam family "Bacterial small subunit ribosomal RNA", at positions 29 to 507 of the family's 1533-position model. The record is from RNAcentral.
AACGAACGCUGGCGGCAUGCCUAACACAUGCAAGUCGAACGAGACCUUCCCGCCUAGUGGCGCCCGGUUGCGUAAGGCGGAGUAAUCUGCCCUUAGGUUCGGAAUCACUCCCCGUAACUGGUCCUAAUACUGGCUAAUACCUUCGGCCCAAAAUUUUGUAGCCUUUGGAUGGGCCCGCCUUGGCUUAGCUAGUUGGUAGGGUAACAGCGUACCAAGGCGACGAUCCAUAGCUGGUCAGAGAGAAUGAUCAGCCACACUGGGACUGAGACACCGUCCGGAAUCCUACGGAAGGCAGCAGUGGGGGAUAUUGGACAGUGGGCGAAAGGCUGAUGCAGCAAUGCCGGGUGAGUGAUGAAGUCCGGAGGGAAGUAAAGCUCUUUUACACGGGAUGAUAAUGACAGUACCGGGAGAAUAAGCUCCGGCUAACUCCGUG